This 645-nucleotide ribosomal RNA is filed under the name uncultured organism. RNAcentral describes it as "bacterial SSU rRNA". It matches the Rfam family "Bacterial small subunit ribosomal RNA", at positions 97 to 776 of the family's 1533-position model. The record is from RNAcentral.
GGCGGACGGGUGAGUAACGCGUGAGAAUCUGCUUGGGGUCGGGGAAACCACUGGAAACGGUGGCUAAUACCGGAUAAGCCUUUGGGUAAAAGAUUUAUUGCCCCAAGAGGAGCUCGCGUCUGAUUAGCUAGUUGGUGAGGUAAAAGCUCACCAAGGCAGCGAUCAGUAGCUGGUCUGAGAGGACGAUCAGCCACACUGGGACUGAGACACGGCCCAGACUCCUACGGGAGGCAGCAGUGGGGAAUUUUCCGCAAUGGGCGAAAGCCUGACGGAGCAAGACCGCGUGAGGGAGGAAGGCUCUUGGGUUGUAAACCUCUUUUCUCAGGGAAGAAGCUCUGACGGUACCUGAGGAAUCAGCCUCGGCUAACUCCGUGCCAGCAGCCGCGGUAAAUACGGAGGAGGCAAGCGUUAUCCGGAAUUAUUGGGCGUAAAGCGUCCGCAGGUGACGAUUCAAGUCUGCUGUCAAAGCACGGAGCUUAACUCCGUUAAGGCAGUGGGAACUGAAUAGCUAGAGUGCCAGAGGGGUAGAGGGAAUUCCCGGUGUAGCGGUGAAAUGCGGUAGAGAUCGGGAAGAACAUCGGUGGCGAAAGCGCUCUACUGGACGGCAACUGACACUCAGGGACAAAAGCUAGGGGAGCGAAUGGG